GCCAGGUGUGGUGGUUCAUGCCUGUAGUCCCAGCUACUCAGGAGGCUGAGGCAGGAGGAUCGCUUGAGCCCAGGAAUUUGAGGCUGCAGUGAGCCAUGAUCACACCAUUGCACCCCAGCCUGGGCAACAGAGUGAGAUGCUGUCUCUU
Unclassified non-coding RNA from Papio anubis (olive baboon), 148 nucleotides. It matches the Rfam family "Metazoan signal recognition particle RNA". Rfam says of the family: The signal recognition particle (SRP) is a universally conserved ribonucleoprotein. Lineage: Eukaryota; Metazoa; Chordata; Mammalia; Primates; Cercopithecidae. The record is from Ensembl.